AUCAGAGCGUGCGAGCCGCGCGUGCAGCGACGGUUUGAGCCGGUCCCGCGAGGCAGGGACGGAGACGUCCUUGGCAAAGAUGUCUUUGGUCCUCGGCGAAUAUAAAGCGGGACGCCUACCCAUCGAUUCCACCCUGACAAAGCUCCAACAUCAGACUUUGUACUGACCUGAUUGAUAGACCUCGAAUCACAGGUGACUGGUGACUGCUGACUUCACUUUCAUUCCUGGAAUCAGUUCUCUGCACUAUCUGAGUAGACACCAUUCACGAUGAGUGGUAUCAGAGUGUAGGAGCCAUGUCUCUGCUCCGUCAAAAGAGGACAGUUUCCCACAUUUGGAUGGCUUGAUUAUAACCAUGUAUAAUCUUUCCGCUGACUGGUUAACACACAAUAAAAUAUUUUUGCUGCACCUUGGUACACGUGACAAUAAACUGAACUAAUUAACAAAACUCAGUAUGCAGAUGGUGGGUACAAAAUGAGUGUGCCCAUGGUGUAGGAAUCUGCUGGCUGUGCGUAUUGGAGAGGUGUGUGUGUGUGUGUGUGUCUGCAUGCGUG
Molecule: long non-coding RNA, 551 nt
Organism: Leucoraja erinaceus (little skate)
Lineage: Eukaryota; Metazoa; Chordata; Chondrichthyes; Rajiformes; Rajidae
Exons: 3
Source: RefSeq, a predicted model, not a curated record